GGGGUAGACAUGGCUUUGACAGCAUGAAGAAUAGGUAUGUAAGCAUGUCGGGCGCAGAGAAACCGGCCCGUUAAUCCCGGACUCAAAAUUUCAAUUGGCGAGAAUAACUACGCUCUUGCUGCCUGAUCGAAUCACAGUAGAUCGGCUUAAUCGCUGUUCAAGGAACGGCGACGGGACAUCCCGCCGGUGGUUUCACCUUAUCCCGGCCGGCAUACGGGGUGCAGUCAAUGUAAGGUUAGUCUGAGCCUGCUUCGGGCGAAAGGCGAAAAUUCAGAAGCUAAGGUGAAGUUUGGGUGCUUUUUUCCGUACUUCAUUCGAAAACCAAUAAAAAGCUAAGCAUGUAGAAAGCGUAUGGAUUCCGUGUUUGGACCAGGGUUCGAUUCCCUGCUACUCCACUA
Molecule: transfer-messenger RNA, 398 nt
Filed under: Culturomica sp.
Lineage: Bacteria; Pseudomonadati; Bacteroidota; Bacteroidia; Bacteroidales; Odoribacteraceae
Rfam family: transfer-messenger RNA
About the family: Bacterial tmRNA, also known as 10Sa RNA or SsrA, is named for its dual tRNA and mRNA-like properties. Its role is to liberate the mRNA from a stalled ribosome. To accomplish this part of the tmRNA is used as a reading frame that ends in a translation stop signal.
Source: RNAcentral